CCUACGGGGGGCAGCAGUGGGGAAUAUUGGACAAUGGGGGGAACCCUGAUCCAGCCAUGCCGCGUGUGUGAAGAAGGCCCUCGGGUUGUAAAGCACUUUCAGUGAGGAAGAACGCCUGGUGGUUAAUACCCAUCAGGAAAGACAUCACUCACAGAAGAAGCACCGGCUAACUCCGUGCCAGCAGCCGCGGUAAUACGGAGGGUGCGAGCGUUAAUCGGAAUUACUGGGCGUAAAGCGCGCGUAGGUGGCUUGAUAAGCCGGUUGUGAAAGCCCCGGGCUCAACCUGGGAACGGCAUCCGGAACUGUCAAGCUAGAGUGCAGGAGAGGAAAGUAGAAUUCCCGGUGUAGCGGUGAAAUGCGUAGAGAUCGGGAGGAACACCAGUGGCGAAGGCGGCCUUCUGGACUGACACUGACACUGAGGUGCGAAAGCGUGGGUAGCAAACAGGAUUAGAUACCCUAGUAGUC
RNAcentral lists this ribosomal RNA (465 nucleotides) under Vreelandella stevensii. RNAcentral's name for it is "partial 16S ribosomal RNA". It matches the Rfam family "Bacterial small subunit ribosomal RNA", at positions 338 to 795 of the family's 1533-position model. Lineage: Bacteria; Pseudomonadati; Pseudomonadota; Gammaproteobacteria; Oceanospirillales; Halomonadaceae. The record is from RNAcentral.